UUCUCUCUCAGGAAAUUAUAUUGGAAUGCAUGUGAGAAAGUGAUUUCUAAAAUGCCUCAUAAUGGUCUGUGUGGGUAUACAUACAUAUACACAGAUAAAUAAUUCAAAACUUUGGUACCUUAUUGUAGAUGUUUGUUCCUUGAACAUCUUGCAUACCAAGAUAAAUUAUUUUGGAUCACCUAAUAUCAAAAAGUGACAUACCCAAACCAAACCAAAACAAAAAAACAAAAUGUGGAUAGGCAUGGUAGCUGACGCCUGUAAUCCCAGCACUUUUGGAGGCUGAGGUGGGAGAACUCAGGAGUUUAAGACCAGCCUGAGCAACAUAGCAAGACCUCGUCUCUGCUAAAGAAAAAAUAAAAUGGGAGGUGGGGUGCCAGCCACAGUGGCUGAUGCCUGUAAUUCUGGCACUUUGGGAGGCCAAGGCAGGUGGAUCACUUGAGGUCAGGAGCUCAAGUGAUCCUCCCGCUUCAGUCUCCCAAGGUGCUGGGAUUACAGGUGUGAGCCUGUGUGCCUGGCCACAUUUUACUUUUCUUAGAGCAUAUUUAACACUUGGGUUUAUAUUUCACUAUUUGUGUAUCUU
RNAcentral lists this long non-coding RNA (580 nucleotides) under Homo sapiens (human). Its description in RNAcentral is "non-protein coding lnc-RSBN1L-1:1". Lineage: Eukaryota; Metazoa; Chordata; Mammalia; Primates; Hominidae. The record is from RNAcentral.